UUCAGAGAGAUGAUGAUCGAGACCAAACUCCUCCAGAGCACCUCUGAAGUCUGAAACCUCACUUGCUUUUCCUCUCCUCUCCUCUUUCUUGAUGCUUCGUUUCUUGAAGGAACCAAAGUGAGAUGGACUGAUGGAGGAA
This 139-nucleotide small nucleolar RNA is filed under the name Oryza sativa (Asian cultivated rice). RNAcentral describes it as "Z189 small nucleolar RNA". Lineage: Eukaryota; Viridiplantae; Streptophyta; Magnoliopsida; Poales; Poaceae. The record is from RNAcentral.